GUGCUUGCUUCGGCAGCACAUAUACUAAAAAUUGGAAUGAUACAGAGAAGAUUAGUAACCUGCACAAGGAUGACACGCAAAUUCGUGAAGAAAUCUGGGUUUUG
Small nuclear RNA from Suncus etruscus (white-toothed pygmy shrew), 104 nucleotides. The record is from RefSeq and is a predicted model, not a curated record. NCBI's taxonomy places the organism in Eukaryota, Metazoa, Chordata, Mammalia, Eulipotyphla, Soricidae.